RNAcentral lists this long non-coding RNA (235 nucleotides) under Setaria italica (foxtail millet). RNAcentral's name for it is "long non-coding RNA (SITA_LNC005853)". Lineage: Eukaryota; Viridiplantae; Streptophyta; Magnoliopsida; Poales; Poaceae. The record is from RNAcentral.
AAGGUUUUCUUGCUCGAACCUGAGUUGAACUCGGGCAUGACGAAGACGUCGACUCCGACUCAUCCUAUUCACUAGAGAUACCAUUAUCCGGUCCAGCCCAAGGAUUGGUAAUAACUUCAACAUCGCAAGGCAGAUUCGUCCACUGACUGGGAUUGCGACCACCUCUUCUCGACCGUGACUACGACUUGCGCCUCGCCGCCCAUAUAGACAACCUACCAUAUCAAGACGGCAUUCC